GAGUUUGAUCAUGGCUCAGAUUGAACGCUGGCGGCAGGCUUAACACAUGCAAGUCGAACGGUAAAGUAGCUUGCUACUUACGAGUGGCGGACGGGUGAGUAACGUAUGGGAAUUUACCGAAUGGAGGGGGACAACAGUUGGAAACGGCUGCUAAUACCGCAUAACGUCGAGAGACCAAAGGGUUUCGACUUGCCAUUUGAUGAGCCCAUAUGAGAUUAGCUAGUUGGUGUGAUAAUGGCUCACCAAGGCGACGAUCUCUAGCUGGUUUGAGAGGGUGACCAGCCACACUGGGACUGAGACACGGCCCAGACUCCUACGGGAGGCAGCAGUGGGGAAUAUUGCACAAUGGGGGGAACCCUGAUGCAGCCAUGCCGCGUGUAUGAAGAAGGCCUUAGGGUUGUAAAGUACUUUCGUGGAGGAGGAAGGGUUUACGUAAUCGUGGACAUUGACGUUACUCCAAGAAGAAGCACCGGCUAACUCCGUGCCAGCAGCCGCGGUAAUACGGAGGGUGCGAGCGUUAAUCGGAAUGACUGGGCGUAAGGGCAUGUAGGCGGAUGAUUAAGUUAGAUGUGAAAUCCUGGGCUUAACCUAGAAUUGCAUUUAAACUGGGUUA
This 613-nucleotide ribosomal RNA is filed under the name uncultured Enterobacteriaceae bacterium. RNAcentral's name for it is "bacterial SSU rRNA". It matches the Rfam family "Bacterial small subunit ribosomal RNA", at positions 9 to 639 of the family's 1533-position model. The record is from RNAcentral. Lineage: Bacteria; Pseudomonadati; Pseudomonadota; Gammaproteobacteria; Enterobacterales; Enterobacteriaceae.